UGGGACGUCGCCAAGUUGGUAAGGCAACGGUUUUUGGUAUCGUCAUCCGGAGGUUCGAAUCCUCCCGUCCCAGCCA
This 76-nucleotide transfer RNA is filed under the name Rickettsia bellii str. RML Mogi. RNAcentral's name for it is "tRNA-Gln". It matches the Rfam family "tRNA". Rfam says of the family: Transfer RNA (tRNA) molecules are approximately 80 nucleotides in length. The record is from RNAcentral. Lineage: Bacteria; Pseudomonadati; Pseudomonadota; Alphaproteobacteria; Rickettsiales; Rickettsiaceae.